ACGAAAUAAAAAUGAAGGAAAGAAGAAGGAGGAGGACCAUUAUUAAUCUUAUUUUAUUCUUCGUCUGUAGUACGGCAUGAUGCUGUGUAUGUAGUAUGUAUGUUUUUUUUUUUUUUUUUUUUUUUCUUUGU
This 131-nucleotide non-coding RNA is filed under the name Heterosigma akashiwo. The record is from RNAcentral. Lineage: Eukaryota; Raphidophyceae; Chattonellales; Chattonellaceae.